RNAcentral lists this ribosomal RNA (592 nucleotides) under uncultured beta proteobacterium. RNAcentral describes it as "bacterial SSU rRNA". It matches the Rfam family "Bacterial small subunit ribosomal RNA", at positions 163 to 750 of the family's 1533-position model. Lineage: Bacteria; Pseudomonadati; Pseudomonadota; Betaproteobacteria. The record is from RNAcentral.
CUAAUACCGCAUACGAUCUCAGGAUGAAAGCAGGGGACCGCAAAGCCUUGCGCUCACGGAGCGGCCGAUGGCAGAUUAGGUAGUUGGUGGGAUAAAAGCUUACCAAGCCGACGAUCUGUAGCUGGUCUGAGAGGACGACCAGCCACACUGGGACUGAGACACGGCCCAGACUCCUACGGGAGGCAGCAGUGGGGAAUUUUGGACAAUGGGCGCAAGCCUGAUCCAGCCAUGCCGCGUGCAGGAUGAAGGCCUUCGGGUUGUAAACUGCUUUUGUACGGAACGAAAAGACUCUGGUUAAUACCUGGGGUCCAUGACGGUACCGUAAGAAUAAGCACCGGCUAACUACGUGCCAGCAGCCGCGGUAAUACGUAGGGUGCGAGCGUUAAUCGGAAUUACUGGGCGUAAAGCGUGCGCAGGCGGUUAUGUAAGACAGAUGUGAAAUCCCCGGGCUCAACCUGGGAACUGCAUUUGUGACUGCAUAGCUAGAGUACGGCAGAGGGGGAUGGAAUUCCGCGUGUAGCAGUGAAAUGCGUAGAUAUGCGGAGGAACACCGAUGGCGAAGGCAAUCCCCUGGGCCUGUACUGACGCUCAU